CAAAAUACUUCAAAAUGUUUGUACGAUGUUUCUCACGAAAUAUCCGCUGCGUCAUGCGCGGCAACGUGAGCGACUGCAAACAGUUCAACGGCUCCUCAACGACUACACGCAGAACUCCACGAAGCUCAUCAAUCCGAUGCUGUUUCGGGAGAUGAUAUAGUCUGAACUGCAUGGCGACAUGCAG
This 184-nucleotide non-coding RNA is filed under the name Candidatus Kaiserbacteria bacterium GW2011_GWA1_50_28. Lineage: Bacteria; Candidatus Kaiseribacteriota. The record is from RNAcentral.